RNAcentral lists this transfer RNA (75 nucleotides) under Rhodogorgon sp. RNAcentral's name for it is "tRNA-Phe". It matches the Rfam family "tRNA". Rfam says of the family: Transfer RNA (tRNA) molecules are approximately 80 nucleotides in length. Lineage: Eukaryota; Rhodophyta; Florideophyceae; Rhodogorgonales; Rhodogorgonaceae. The record is from RNAcentral.
UGUCUAGAUAGCUCAGUAGGUAGAGCAUAGAAUUGAAAAUUCUUGCGUCAUGGGUUCAAAUCCCAUUCUAGACAU